AGCAGCCGCGGUAAUUCCAGCUCCAAUAGCGUAUAUUAAAGUUGUUGCAGUUAAAAAGCUCGUAGUUGAAUUUCGGGAUCAAUAUAUCGGUCGUGCCUUUGGUACGUACUGGUAUCAUUGAUUUCUCCCUUCUGACGAAUCAUGAUGUCAUUAAUUUGGUGUUAUGAGGAGUUAGGACUGUUACUUUGAAAAAAUUAGAGUGUUUAAAGCAGGCAUUAGCUUGAAUACAUUAGCAUGGAAUAAUGAAAUAGGACGUUUGACCCUAUUUUGUUGGUUUCUAGGAUCGACGUAAUGAUUAAUAGGGAUAGUUGGGGGCAUUAGUAUUCAAUUGUCAGAGGUGAAAUUCUUGGAUUUAUUGAAGACUAACUACUGCGAAAGCAUUUGCCAAGGAUGUUUUCAUUAAUCAAGAACGAAAGUUAGGGGAUCGAAGACGAUCAGAUACCGUCGUAGUCUUAACCAUAAACUAUGCCGACUAGGGAUCGGAUGAUGUUAAUUUUAUAAUGA
RNAcentral lists this ribosomal RNA (504 nucleotides) under uncultured Glomus. RNAcentral's name for it is "SSU rRNA". It matches the Rfam family "Eukaryotic small subunit ribosomal RNA", at positions 569 to 1077 of the family's 1831-position model. Lineage: Eukaryota; Fungi; Glomeromycota; Glomeromycetes; Glomerales; Glomeraceae. The record is from RNAcentral.